UACACCAGUUUAACUGUAUUUAAAGUAUGACUUUUUCUAUGUAAAUUAGGCUAAUAUUGUAUCUUAUCUUCAAAAAUCAAUGCUAAUAUUUUUUUUGCUAUUACUGCCCAAAGAUGCAGACAAUAAAAUAAAUGUAGUAAAAAAGAGAUUUCAUCUGUUUUCUAGCAGCAGUAAUUCAUCACACGAUGAUUAAAUGAUGAAAGAAGAGCAUUGUAACUUUUAGUUAGUCCACCUAGACAUUCUACUAACUAUAAGUAUCUUUGCAACUACAUGUCAACUAGCGUCAUUAGAGUAUUAGCGACUGUCUCCAAGAUUUUAUUUUGAACCAACAUUCCACUGACCAUAAGUAACUUUUCAAGUACAUGUCAGCUUAUUUUACUAAUCCUAACCUUACAGUCUACUAAUACUCUAAUGAGAGUUAGUUGACAUGUACUUGCCGUGCUACUUAGUAUAACUUCUGGAGUAUCAAAAUAAAGUGUAACUUUAUAUCCCGAUAUAUCAUGCAGUCAAGAGCACUUUAAUCACUGUUUCAGGUGCCUAGCAUUGCUGUAUGUACAUUCCCAGUAAGGUACGCCAGAUUGCAGUUGUCUGCUGUUUCAAAAAUGCCUUGAAGUUAUGUAUAUAUAUAUAUAUCAUACUAGCUCUCCUCCAUUAUUUUCAUGAACCAUGUAAACAAACAAAGUAUUUAUUUUAUUUCUUUUAAAAUUCAAUGUUUUACCAUAUGACAUAUUUUGUUUUACUGUAUGACAUAGUACAAUUUCAAUGUUUCAUUGCAUUUUUAAUAUAAUAAAUUGAUGUAGGCCAAUUCAGAAUGAAUGUUUCCUCUGCCGUUGCCUGCGUGUACACGUACAUUUAUUGAUAUUUAUUCAUAAAUGUACAUACAAACAGUGUUGGGGGUAACGCAUUACAAGUAACGUGAGUUACGUAAUCAGAUUACUUUUCUAAAGUAACUAGUAAAGUAAUGCAUUACUUUUUAAUUUAGAAGCAAAUAUCUGAGUUACUUUUUCAAAUAAGUAAUGCCAGUUACUUUGUUUCCCAUGUAUUGACUGACAGCUCUCGUGCUGCCAUGUUGAGAGAAAUCGUGCAGAGCGUUGUGUGUGAAUAUGAAGUUACUGUAGUUCUAGACUAAACAUGAACAUGCAUUUACUCAUCUCACCUGCACAAAAACAGAUUCAGUAUUCCUCAAAAUGAAUAAAAACAGUCAAAUGCAAACUCAGAAUAUUAUACAAAUCUGCAAUAAUUAAAUAUGUUAAAUAAGACAAAUAUCAUUUUUUUGUAUUUAAUCCCAUUUUAUUAACCAAUGUCUUUGUUACUGACUUUCGAUGAUCCAAUUCAACCAUACUAAUAAGAAAAAAUGACACAUUUGUGUUUAAUUUUUGUCAUUGCUGAAUAGUGUUGAAGUUUCUUUUCCUGCGUCAUAUUUUUCAUGCAAUUUGUUUGAGCGUCGCCCUCUACUGUACAGAUGUGAAUUUACAUUUCCUUCAGCCUGAGGCGUAUUAAUUUUACUUUUGGUGUGAAAGGGCUUUUACAUUUAUAAAAGAAGAACUUUUUUAUAUUAAAAACAAACAAGCGAGCCCUGUCCAGAUUUAAAAAGUAACUCAAAAGUAAAGGAACACAUUACUUACCAUACAAAGUAACUAAGUAACGUAAUUAGUUACUUUUUAAGGAGUAACGUAAUAUCGUAAUGCAUUACUUUUAAAAAGUAACUUUCCCCAACACUGCAUACAAAUACACAAACAUACAUUUAUAUAUAUGUAUAUUUACACACACACACACGCAUACACACACACACACACACACACACACACACACACACACACACAUGAAUAAUAUAUCUAUAUAUAUGAAGCCACUUUCCAGAAACAUUGUGAUGCUGACUUCAACUCAGUUCUAUAGAUAAGAUACUGCCUAUACUGACAAAACUGGCACAUCCUGACAUUACUGACAUCAUAUACUCUCACAGUUAUACCUUUCCCUCCUCUUAGCUAGGUUCUCCUCUCUAGCUGCAGGAUCUGCCCUUUGCUUUGCACUGAAACGUGCACCCCUCUCCUUACUAGAAAGAGGCAUCUGUAAUAAUGUGAAAAAAUGCUUGAAAUAGGCAGAAAUAUAUUAUAUAUGUUAAUAUUAAUUCAUAGUAGUUGUACAAACUAUAUAUGUGAUAAAACAAUUAAGAAAUAACUAAAUAAUUCAGUUAAAUGCUCUGUGUCAUAUGGUAUAACAACAUGUCAUACGGUAAAAUCGUUUGUCCGUAUGACAUUUUUUGUUUGCCCUUAUGACAGUUUCAUGCUUUGUCAUUUAUAACAGGCAGUUGCUUGGCCACCUCUUUCCACCAUUACACUUUACCUUGACCUUUUAACUUUAUAUUUCACCUGUAAAUCAAUAUUUUUUCAAAUUUUAAAUGUAUUAAAUCCUUUUUUGACGUUUGACCCUAUGACACCCAAAUCUGUGACACAUGGUAACACACUUGGAAAAGGUGAAAUUACCUGAAAUUUGGGAGCAAAAUCUUAAACUUACCUUCAACUUGGCUGGUCUUCAGGGGUCCUCUGAGUGAUGUCAUCACAUGUCACAUGACUUAAGUCAUUAAUAUUAAGUUCCAAAAUGGCUUCCAAACUUUGUUUUACCGUAUGACAUAGGGAAAAUGUGUCUUUGCGGAACAAUUUGUUUUAGAUACUAAUGACAUUUCUUAAAGGUCUAUCUUACUGAUACUUUAAUAUGCUUAUCUUAAGACUUGAAAAAAUAUGCCAAAUUAAAAAUUUUAUCAUUUUUAAAUAUUUUUAAUCAUUUUAAAUGCAAUUGUCUUAAAUAACUUUAAGUGAAUUCCGUUUGACCGUAUGACAUUUGACCACAUUAAUAGUCUAAAAGUUACCUAUUUUUGAAUUUUUCACACAAUUAUGAACAGUGAGGAGGACAAAUGAUGUGAGAUUAAAGCAUAUAUAUAAUUUUAAACCUAUUUUAUAUAAAUAUAUAAUAUUUAUUGCUCCUGGAAGUCCAAAUCAGUGCGGCACGUCACUGACAAUUUACAUGUAUAUACAUUUAUAUUCUUAUAUUUUAUAUUAUAUAUAAAUAUAUUUAAUAUAUAAACAUAACAUAUUCUUCUUAAAUAUAUACAUGCAUGUGUGUGUAUUUAUAUAUACAUAAUAAAUAUACACAGUAUACACACAUAUUAUGUAAACAAAACUUUUAUUUUGGAUGUGAUUAAUCGUGAUUAAUCAUUUGACAGCCCUAAUAUAUAUAUAUAUAUAUAUAUAUAUAUAUAUAUAUAUAUAUAUAUAUAUAUAUAUAUAUAUAUAUAUAUAUAUAUAUAUAGUACCUUUGUCUUACAUGUAUGUCCAUUUUUCAAAGACUUUUUUGCUUCAAAUCAAAGUUUCUAAUGUUUUGUUUCACCUUGUAACUGAUUAGUGUGUUCCAUGGCUUAUAACUCUUUAACAAAGAUUUUUAAAGUUUAUUUUGAGAUUCAGACUGCUCUGGUGGGCUAAGGUCACUUUCAGAAUACCAUUUGAAAAUAAGGUAUACUUAAGUUUUGUAAAAUUACAGUUCUAACAGACUUGUGUAAUGCUCAAUCAAAUAAGAAGGUGUUGAUGGGAUAACAAGAGAAGAGUCAUGAGGCGCUAAUAUGCCUGUGUACCUCAGGAGGCAUAUUCUGCCCAAACAGAUCUCUUCUGCGGGCCUCAUUUUUCUGUGUUUUAUAUCUUCUGCUAUUGGCAGCCUGCUGUGAGAACUCAAUUAAAGCCCUAGAGGUACGAGACCCAGCGCUGGGAUUCAGUAAACAUAAUCACAAACCUUUAUCCUGCCAAAACUAGCGUGCCAGCAUUCUCUGAUUAGCUUUUGGCUGUGCCGACUUCAAAGCAGUACGACUAUGAAUUUUACAUUUCCAUCCCUCUUUCUCUGAGGUGUGUGGACUACAGGAUUACCUUUUUCAUGGCGGCUUAUGAGAGAGAGAGAGAGAGAGAGAGACAGAGAGAGCAAAAGAUGAGAGGAGGUCAGUGACUUAGAUCUUCUUUUCUAGAAGUCUUCUGGUUGUCCUGGUGAUGGUCUCACUCUCAUGGGCUGGAGCAAAGGUUCUAGCUGGGGUUCACAGCAUUAAAUGAUUAUGAAUACAUACACUGUAUUUAUGUAUAUCUGUCAUCUCUCUCUCUACUAUCACACCAGUGUCUUUCAUGAGUGAUAAUUUAAGCUGUAACAGUGGGAGGAGCAUGUUUUAAUAUACCAGUAUCUUGGUUACAGCUGGCACAGAAAGUGUACCUGGCCAUUCUGCAACAAAGCCUGUUAGCCACUUGGUGUCAUACUUGCACACAGAAAAUUUAGACGCUGUAGAGUAAUGCAGAAAAAUGGGACAAGGCUAGUAAACGUUGAUUGCAUAAAGGGCCUGUUUACAACUGGUGUCAAGAUGCUGUUUGGUCACAAGUAGAUGAGGGAGACAAUUCCCGUGAAAUGUGUGUGUAUGAGAGGCUCUGGCAUGAUCACGCAUAUUGUCCUUAUAACAGCAGAAGAAACUAUAAUAUUCUGUCAUUUUGGUCAUUAAAAUAUGAGUAAGACAUAAUUGGAAGCUGUUUACUUUUAUGUAUACUCACAAUAAGAAAACAAAAUGCCUUUGUAAAGUGAAGAAAACAAACAGUAUGCGCUUUCAGCCGUUUCUGUUUCCUUAUACUUGUGGUGUGGACCUCCAGUAUGAUGUAUGAU
Molecule: long non-coding RNA, 4680 nt
Organism: Cyprinus carpio carpio
Lineage: Eukaryota; Metazoa; Chordata; Actinopteri; Cypriniformes; Cyprinidae
Source: Ensembl